Molecule: ribosomal RNA, 690 nt
Filed under: Triticum aestivum (bread wheat)
Lineage: Eukaryota; Viridiplantae; Streptophyta; Magnoliopsida; Poales; Poaceae
Description: partial small subunit ribosomal RNA
Source: RNAcentral
AUGGCGAAAUAUUGGUGGAGCAGCUCACUUGAUAAACGGUCUUUGCACUGGAUAUCGUGGAAGUCGCUCGCAUCUCCAAAAAUUAAUGGCGGAAUGGGCUUCCGUGAUAUGGAACUCUUCAACAUUGCUCUCCUAGGGAAACAUGGUUGGAGGUUCAUGACCAGCCUAGACUCUUUAUGUGCUCGUGUUAUGAAGAGCAGGUACUUCCCAAAUACUGAUUUCAUGCAUGCAACAAUGUCGCAAUCAUCCUCUGCCAUAUGGAGAGCUAUUGUGGCUGGGCGGGAAGCUCUUCGAGCUGGUCUGAUUAUGCGUGUUGGGGAUGGCAGUUCCAUCUCUGUUUGGAAUGACAAGUGGAUCCCAGGUACAAUAUGCAUGUUCCCUAUGAUUAGGCCAGCCAAUUCUCUAAUCCAUUUUGUUCAGGAGUUAAUUGAUGAUGUAAAUUGGAGAUGGAAGGAUGAUCUAAUCCGUAACACUUUCCUAGCACCAGACGCAGAGGCUAUCUUAAACAUACCACUAUGCAAUGGGAGAGCUAACGUGCAGGAGGGGGGCAGCGGAGGCCGCGGCGGAGCUGCGGCAAGGCAGCGCGGCACAACGACGUGGUCGGCGUGCGGCGACAGGCGGCGCGAGCGCGCAAGCGAGAGAGAGAGAGAGGGAGAGAGACAGAGAGGCGCGGGCUCACGGUGGGGGUAG